Bombus pyrosoma is the source of this 1022-nucleotide long non-coding RNA. RefSeq lists it as uncharacterized. Lineage: Eukaryota; Metazoa; Arthropoda; Insecta; Hymenoptera; Apidae. The record is from RefSeq and is a predicted model, not a curated record. The transcript has 4 exons.
UCAUCAAAAAUUCCGAAAGUGUGUAUAAGUGAAUAAGCGUGCUCACGGUCGUAUGCACAAGUCUGGCAACUAUCGUGGUAGGGGCAACGCUAUUAGUGAAAGCCAAAUGUUUCUCGAUUUGCCCGCUAAACAAUAAAACACUUCAAGUCAAGAGUUUGAAUUGCAUAUGUGUAAUAUAGUGUAGACACGCGAGUGUAUAAUCGUAGCGCUCUAUGGCUAGUGGCUGAUUUAUAAAGCACACAUUAUGAUGUUAAGAGCCUUACCUCCUCUAUGGAAAUUGCUACCUGUGUAUACGACUUUGGACGACGUGGACGUGCUCUAACACCGUUGAUGGAAAGGUCCACAUUCAUGAGAGCGAAAAUCCCCUUUUUCUCUUCUUAAUUACCAAUUCUAAUAAUGUCUUAUCAAUGAUCCAAGAUCAUGUAGUACGAAGUUAUACGAUAGUGUAACUUAUUACGUAUAUACAUUAUAUAUAUAUGUAUUUCUCUGUGAAAGAAUUUAAUUUAUUUUGUGCUAAUUAAAUCAUGGUGUCGUGUGAUUAUGAAAGAGUGGACGUCCAAGUUGUUUGCCAGAUUUGCGAUAUCUCCUCAGAAGGGAUAGCCGAGCACAAAGGAUUAAUAAAUUAAAAAAAAAAUGUUUAUUUAUGAUCUUCAAAAUGAUUAAUUAAAUGUACCAUGUGCCGUCUAGAUUUUCCCGCCAUAUCCAAAGCAAGUUUGAGACUAUCUGCCCGCCACUUUACUUUAACAAAAUUAUUCAUUAACAAUGGCGUAUCGUCGUUUAGUGGAAAAUAAAAUGUAACAUAAAGUGAUUCGAUGAAACAUUCGAUGCCCAGCAUUAUCAUUUUCCGUGAAUCUCCCACAAAACAUGGACACACGCAAAGUUUCAUCUUUGACGAAUCUAAACCAUUAACUUCACCCCACGAAUAAUUCAAUGAGUCAUCAGCGAGAUUCUUUAAUAUUAAAAUAUAAGUUUCCUUGACACCGAUGUAUAGAGUCCUGUCACGCGUAAUAAUCUUAAUAAGA